The sequence is a regulatory RNA element, 38 nucleotides long. It matches the Rfam family "Ribosomal protein L19 leader". Rfam says of the family: This family is a putative r-protein leader autoregulatory structure found in B. subtilis and other low-GC Gram-positive bacteria. The record is from Rfam.
ACGAUAUUCCGCUGCUGCGGUUGCGGCAAGAGUGUCUG